RNAcentral lists this ribosomal RNA (772 nucleotides) under uncultured bacterium. RNAcentral describes it as "bacterial SSU rRNA". It matches the Rfam family "Bacterial small subunit ribosomal RNA", at positions 8 to 796 of the family's 1533-position model. The record is from RNAcentral.
AGAGUUUGAUCAUGGCUCAGAACGAACGCUGGCGGCGUGCUUAACACAUGCAAGUCGAGUGCGCGGUUGUAGCAAUACAACUGGCGCACGGCGCACGGGUGCGUAACACGUGGGUAACCUGCCCUUUGGUGGGGAAUAACUCCGCGAAAGCGGAGCUAAUUCCGCAUAAGAUCCGCAGGGAUGAAAGCCGCAAGGCGCCGAAGGAGGGGCCCGCGCCCGAUUAGCUAGUUGGUGAGGUAAUGGCUCACCAAGGCUAUGAUCGUUAGCUGGUCUGAGAGGAUGGCCAGCCACACUGGAACUGAGACACGGUCCAGACUCCUACGGGAGGCAGCAGUGGGGAAUCUUGCACAAUGGGCGAAAGCCUGAUGCAGCGACGCCGCGUGGGGGAUGAAGCUUCUCGGAGUGUAAACCCCUUUCGACCCGGACGAAUACCUCGCAAGAGGGGUGACGGUACGGGUAUAAGAAGCCCCGGCUAACUACGUGCCAGCAGCCGCGGUAAGACGUAGGGGGCCAGCGUUGUUCGGAAUUACUGGGUGUAAAGGGUUCGUAGGCGGUGUGGCAAGUCGGGAGUGAAAUCUCUGGGCUCAACUCAGAGUCUGCUUCCGAAACUGCUGUGCUUGAGUGUGGGAGAGGCGCGUGGAAUUGCAGGUGUAGCGGUGAAAUGCGUAGAUAUCUGCAGGAACACCCGUGGCGAAAGCGGCGCGCUGGACCACUACUGACGCUGAGGAACGAAAGCUAGGGGAGCAAACAGGAUUAGAUACCCUAGUAGUCC